GCAUCGGUAGUUUAGUGGUAAAAUCAAGCAUUCCCAUGUAAAUUUGCUUGGCCCCGGGUUCGAUUCCCGGCCGUUGCA
Molecule: non-coding RNA, 78 nt
Organism: Lojkania enalia
Lineage: Eukaryota; Fungi; Ascomycota; Dothideomycetes; Pleosporales
Source: the annotation of a GenBank genome assembly